AGAGUUUGAUCAUGGCUCAGGACGAACGCUGGCGGCGUGCUUAACACAUGCAAGUCGAACGGAAAGGCCCUUCGGGGUACUCGAGUGGCGAACGGGUGAGUAACACGUGGGUGAUCUGCCCUGCACUUUGGGAUAAGCCUGGGAAACUGGGUCUAAUACCAAAUAUGACCGCGCACUUCCUGGUGUGUGGUGGAAAGCUUUUGCGGUGUGGGAUGGGCCCGCGGCCUAUCAGCUUGUUGGUGGGGUAAUGGCCUACCAAGGCGACGACGGGUAGCCGGCCUGAGAGGGUGACCGGCCACACUGGGACUGAGAUACGGCCCAGACUCCUACGGGAGGCAGCAGUGGGGAAUAUUGCACAAUGGGCGCAAGCCUGAUGCAGCGACGCCGCGUGAGGGAUGACGGCCUUCGGGUUGUAAACCUCUUUCAAUAGGGACGAAGCGCGAGUGACGGUACCUAUAGAAGUAGGACCGGCCAACUACGUGCCAGCAGCCGCGGUAAUACGUAGGGUCCGAGCGUUGUCCGGAAUUACUGGGCGUAAAGAGCUCGUAGGUGGUUUGUCGCGUUGUUCGUGAAAACUCACAGCUUAACUGUGGGCGUGCGGGCGAUACGGGCAGACUAGAGUACUGCAGGGGAGACUGGAAUUCCUGGUGUAGCGGUGGAAUGCGCAGAUAUCAGGAGGAACACCGGUGGCGAAGGCGGGUCUCUGGGCAGUAACUGACGCUGAGGAGCGAAAGCGUGGGGAGCGAACAGGAUUAGAUACCCUGGUAGUCC
RNAcentral lists this ribosomal RNA (771 nucleotides) under uncultured bacterium. Its description in RNAcentral is "bacterial SSU rRNA". It matches the Rfam family "Bacterial small subunit ribosomal RNA", at positions 8 to 796 of the family's 1533-position model. The record is from RNAcentral.